GAUUGCUGGUGAGACAGCAGCCACUGCUCCCAGGCCCGAGAACAGGGGCAGCACCAAAGCUGGUCAGUGUUUCCUCCUUACAGGUGUACCUGAAAUAUGCCAUACGUGUGCCCAGGAGCCACAGCCACAAGCAGGGACAUCUCAACCUCAGGACCUCUGCAUGGCAUCAUCAAGGAGCCAGAGACCCAGAAAGCCUGGAUGCCAAAGGUCACAUGGAGGUAAACAGGAAGCAUAGAACCCCAGGUGCUGUCAGGAGCUACCUGACAACCACAUGGGAAAUCAUUCCGAAGGUGAAGCUGCCACAGGGAGCGAGAGACACAGCCCUGGUGACUUUAUCAACUUCUGGAACAAACUAGCCUGAAGCCCUUCCUAUCUCUUGACUUUCCAGGUACGUGGACAGGUAAAUCCCCUUUAUUGUUUAAACCAGUUUGUAUAUCUGCUACUUGCACCCUAACUGUUGAUGUGAUUUCCCAAGGUCACAUAGAACCAGAGCUCAGCAGCUUCAGCUUCUCAAUAAAUAAGAGAGUGCAUGAAAAGCAGCAAUAUACAGGUG
This 553-nucleotide long non-coding RNA is filed under the name Gorilla gorilla gorilla (western lowland gorilla). RNAcentral describes it as "lncRNA (ENSGGOG00000044643.1)". Lineage: Eukaryota; Metazoa; Chordata; Mammalia; Primates; Hominidae. The record is from RNAcentral.